RNAcentral lists this unclassified non-coding RNA (327 nucleotides) under soil metagenome. RNAcentral describes it as "partial contains 5.8S ribosomal RNA, internal transcribed spacer 2, and large subunit ribosomal RNA". The stretch from base 1 to 120 matches the Rfam family "5.8S ribosomal RNA", at positions 35 to 154 of the family's 154-position model. The record is from RNAcentral.
GAUGAAGAACGCAGCGAAAUGCGAUAAGUAAUGUGAAUUGCAGAAUUCAGUGAAUCAUCGAAUCUUUGAACGCACAUUGCGCCCGCCAGUACUCUGGCGGGCAUGCCUGUUCGAGCGUCAUUUCAACCCUCGGGCCCCGCAUUCGUGCGGGCCCCGGGUACAGUAACUUCACUGUUGAGAUGCCCUGGGAGCCGCUGGCUGGGUCAGCCGUAAAACCCCCGACAUAGGCCUUCCUGCCCGCCCCCGGCGGGGAGGGAGACCGCCUAAUUUUGACCUCGGAUCAGGUAGGACUACCCGCUGAACUUAAGCAUAUCAAUAAGCGGAGGA